RNAcentral lists this ribosomal RNA (100 nucleotides) under Lepisosteus oculatus (spotted gar). The record is from RNAcentral. Lineage: Eukaryota; Metazoa; Chordata; Actinopteri; Semionotiformes; Lepisosteidae.
GCCAGCAGCCAUAUCACCCUGCAACUAAGCUAAGCAGGUGUGAGCCUGGUCAGUACCUGGAUGGGAGACCUCCUGGGAAAAACUAAGGUUGCUGCUGGAA